This is a long non-coding RNA of Drosophila yakuba, 1747 nucleotides long. RefSeq lists it as uncharacterized. The record is from RefSeq and is a predicted model, not a curated record. NCBI's taxonomy places the organism in Eukaryota, Metazoa, Arthropoda, Insecta, Diptera, Drosophilidae. The transcript is spliced from 2 exons.
GCUCAGUUGUUGAACUCAAAUGGCAGCUAAACACUUAAAAUAGUCUUCAUCAUAUGGCUGUAAACAUAUCUUUUUUUGCGUCAUUAAUUACUUUGUUUAAAGUUUAGAUAUUUCCGAAUUGCAAAAUCCUGAAGAAUAUACUCAAAUUCAUGCCCAGUAACAGGCCAUUGAAAACGGAACAGGUUUGAAGCAAAGCAAAGGUCGUCUUCCUUUUGGCAUCUGAAAUAAAAACUCUCAUGGUGGCAAUGUGUGGACUUUUUAUUGGUGUCCUUUGGCACAGCAUCAGCAGCGAGAUCACAAAUGAAGCUAGGAGUUCGGGAGCAAGCAGAGAUGUGACCAAAACUGGACAUUAUCUUUGCCGAAAAGCAGGGAAAAGAAAAGGAGCGAUGCGGGCCAAAUCAUCGGCAUAGAUCAGCAGCAACAGCAACAGCAACAGCAACAUCAGCUGGUGCAGGCGGGAAACCCACCCCGAAUAAACGGGGACCAAGUGACCAGCGGAGGCUGAGGAGUGACCAGCGGCAAACUGGUUGCUCUGCUCCGAAGAUGGGAAAGGGUUGAUGUGGAUGCUCAUCUUGGCCGGGAUGCGUGUCAAAGUUCAGCGGCAUUCGAUGCUGUUGUCCAGUUUGGAAAACCGGCCUGCUUCUGGGUCCGAAUCCGUUGAAAUUUUGAUGUGAAAGUUCAGCAAAACGAUAAAGGGAUUUCUUAUAAAAGUUCCGUGUCCGGCCACAGAUGCGAAUGCUGCUACUGCUGCUGCUGAUGAUGCUGAUGCUGAUGCUGGGUAUUGAGCGUGAGAAAGUUUCCUUGCCGGAGCCAAACUUGUUUGCAUCUAAUGUCCUGCCGCAGAUGCUGACCCGCCUGGCUGCCUCGAGAAACCAGUCGCUCCUUCUGGAUCAACUACUUAGUCAGGGAGUCUAUUUACUCAUGCUAUUUGGUCAGUCGGCUAAUUGCUAACCAAAUGACAAGUAGCCUGCCGGCCAGCCAGGCGGCCAAACAUUAGCUCUCCAAAUGGGCAAAAGCCAUCCAUUGUUUGUCUAUAAGUCGAUUCGGUAAUUGUCCUCGAACGGAGUCACCAUUUAACUUCAUCUGGCUCCUGGCGGAUGACGUGACGACGGGAUGCUCCACCUUAUUAGCUUAGAUAUUCCAUUAGGCGCAUCGAUUACUCAGACAUGCAUUGAUUUUUUCACAUCUGACUGCCAAUUUCAAUGCAUACGCGAUGAGGCCACGGCCACUAAUGAACACCGGUUGUCCAACCCCCAAUUUACCAGCAGUUUGAAAGUUAACUGCUUUCAUGGACUCUGUGGAGUUUGCUAACUUAAAAUUAAAACAAAAUUCAAGUUGAAACUAGCGUUAUAAUAGCCCACUGAUCACACGCAUAGUAUUCUUUCAUUGUAGCUACUGUGCUUAUCAGCAAGAUCUGAAAUUGUGAAAAGUGUUUUAUCAAGUUAACCUUUCUGGUAUACGGCGUUGCUACACCUAAAUAUGAUCUUGGUUCUACAGGCGAAGACCCAAAGAAGGAUUUCUGGGACUCCUUGGUACAUGAGAUCCAAGAAUAUCGAACGCGAUCUCAAGGAACCCAAGAUCGGAGACAAGCGCCAAAACAUAAUAUAUAUCAAUAAUAAUUCUCCCUAUUACUUUUAGGAUAAAACUUCUGAAAGUCUUAAGUAACAAACACGCAAUUAAAGCUGAAAAUCUUUAGUUGUCACAUGGGUAACAGUGCGUUGAUCAAUAAAAACUAUAAAAAUUAAAA